GGCGCCAUCGUCUAUCGGUUAGGACAGCGCCCUUUCAAGGCGCAGAGACGGGUUCGAUUCCCGUUGGCGCUACCA
RNAcentral lists this transfer RNA (75 nucleotides) under Acidiferrobacteraceae bacterium. RNAcentral's name for it is "tRNA-Glu". It matches the Rfam family "tRNA". Rfam says of the family: Transfer RNA (tRNA) molecules are approximately 80 nucleotides in length. Their secondary structure includes four short double-helical elements and three loops (D, anti-codon, and T loops). Further hydrogen bonds mediate the characteristic L-shaped molecular structure. tRNAs have two regions of fundamental functional importance: the anti-codon, which is responsible for specific mRNA codon recognition, and the 3' end, to which the tRNAs corresponding amino acid is attached (by aminoacyl-tRNA synthetases). tRNAs cope with the degeneracy of the genetic code in two manners: having more than one tRNA (with a specific anti-codon) for a particular amino acid; and 'wobble' base-pairing, i.e. permitting non-standard base-pairing at the 3rd anti-codon position. The record is from RNAcentral. RNAcentral also lists the same sequence under 3 other names. Lineage: Bacteria; Pseudomonadati; Pseudomonadota; Gammaproteobacteria; Acidiferrobacterales; Acidiferrobacteraceae.